Molecule: long non-coding RNA, 560 nt
Organism: Raphanus sativus (radish)
Lineage: Eukaryota; Viridiplantae; Streptophyta; Magnoliopsida; Brassicales; Brassicaceae
Exons: 3
Source: RefSeq, a predicted model, not a curated record
UUUCUUUAUAACAGUUGUUGUUUCUUCUCGAGCAAAGCUUUUUUUUUUUUGAGAAAAAUAAUAUUUUGUUGUGAGAAACUUAUAUGUUGCAUCACUUGCUUCAUAGCACUUAGUGUUCUUUUGGAGGAUGUUCCGGCUGUGACAGGGGUUAUUACCAGAGUGGGGGACGAGGGAAGAAGGGCAAGUCAAAUGACGGAGCCAUCUUGAUCAUGAAGAGGUUUACGAGCACCUUCUCCAGCAAAGCUCUGCGGAUUGUUUUACUGAGAGGAUCCCUUCCUCUUCGAGCCUUAUCUAUAAGAUUGAUAUGAAGAAAGCGUAUCGUUUCGUGUCAAAAAUUGACGUCGGUCCGGUAAUAAAUUUCAAUGUGUAGAAGCAAACCAAACAUUGCAUCCUGUCCAUAUAUAGGAAAUUUUAUGGGCAAACCAAACGACAGAGCCAUAUCGGAAGUGAUCAAAAUUAUUGAUAAGAAGGAAUCAGAUAUCAAGGAGAUGUUGGGAUUGUGAAAGCCCAUAUCCAACUCUAUUUAUCUGAUUAGUACGAUAUUGUCUACUUUGGGCCUU